AUGCAUGUCGAACCUAGAUAUUAAUGGAGAUAGAGUACCAAAGAAAUCUAUCGAGGUCGAGAAGGAUGAUGGCCCUAUCUCAUGCAUGGAACAUAAGAAAAUACUAUCGAUAUCAUCGGGACCAUGACCACAAUAUCAAGGAAUGUCAGCAACUUAAAGAUGAGAUCGAGGUGCUUAUCUGGCAGGAAUGAUUAUGGCAAUAUAUCAAAAAUAGG
This 215-nucleotide long non-coding RNA is filed under the name Elaeis guineensis (African oil palm). Its description in RNAcentral is "long non-coding RNA (EGUI_LNC027020)". Lineage: Eukaryota; Viridiplantae; Streptophyta; Magnoliopsida; Arecales; Arecaceae. The record is from RNAcentral.